GGGUAGGGGAGCGUUCUGUAAGCCUGUGAAGGUGUGUCGUGAGGCAUGCUGGAGGUAUCAGAAGUGCGAAUGCUGACAUAAGUAACGAUAAAGCGGGUGAAAAGCCCGCUCGCCGGAAGACCAAGGGUUCCUGUCCAACGUUAAUCGGGGCAGGGUGAGUCGACCCCUAAGGCGAGGCCGAAAGGCGUAGUCGAUGGGAAACGGGUUAAUAUUCCCGUACUUGGUGUUACUGCGAAGGGGGGACGGAGAAGGCUAUGUUGGCCGGGCGACGGUUGUCCCGGUUUAAGCGUGUAGGUGUGUGUUCCAGGUAAAUCCGGUUCACUUUAACACUGAGGCGUGACGACGAGGCACUACGGUGCUGAAGCAACAAAUGCCCUGCUUCCAGGAAAAGCCUCUAAGCAUCAGGUAACAUCAAAUCGUACCCCAAACCGACACAGGUGGUCAGGUAGAGAAUACCAAGGCGCUUGAGAGAACUCGGGUGAAGGAACUAGGCAAAAUGGUGCCGUAACUUCGGGAGAAGGCACGCUGACACGUAGGUGAAGUGAUUUACUCAUGGAGCUGAAGUCAGUCGAAGAUACCAGCUGGCUGCAACUGUUUAUUAAAAACACAGCACUGUGCAAACACGAAAGUGGACGUAUACGGUGUGACGCCUGCCCGGUGCCGGAAGGUUAAUUGAUGGGGUCAGCGCAAGCGAAGCUCCUGAUCGAAGCCCCGGUAAACGGCGGCCGUAACUAUAACGGUCCUAAGGUAGCGAAAUUCCUUGUCGGGUAAGUUCCGACCUGCACGAAUGGCGUAAUGAUGGCCAGGCUGUCUCCACCCGAGACUCAGUGAAAUUGAACUCGCUGUGAAGAUGCAGUGUACCCGCGGCAAGACGGAAAGACCCCGUGAACCUUUACUAUAGCUUGACACUGAACAUUGAGCCUUGAUGUGUAGGAUAGGUGGGAGGCUUUGAAGUGUGGACGCCAGUCUGCAUGGAGCCGACCUUGAAAUACCACCCUUUAAUGUUUGAUGUUCUAACGUGGACCCGUGAUCCGGGUUGCGGACAGUGUCUGGUGGGUAGUUUGACUGGGGCGGUCUCCUCCUAAAGAGUAACGGAGGAGCACGAAGGUUGGCUAAUCCUGGUCGGACAUCAGGAGGUUAGUGCAAUGGCAUAAGCCAGCUUGACUGCGAGCGUGACGGCGCGAGCAGGUGCGAAAGCAGGUCAUAGUGAUCCGGUGGUUCUGAAUGGAAGGGCCAUCGCUCAACGGAUAAAAGGUACUCCGGGGAUAACAGGCUGAUACCGCCCAAGAGUUCAUAUCGACGGCGGUGUUUGGCACCUCGAUGUCGGCUCAUCACAUCCUGGGGCUGAAGUAGGUCCCAAGGGUAUGGCUGUUCGCCAUUUAAAGUGGUACGCGAGCUGGGUUUAGAACGUCGUGAGACAGUUCGGUCCCUAUCUGCCGUGGGCGCUGGAGAACUGAGGGGGGCUGCUCCUAGUACGAGAGGACCGGAGUGGACGCAUCACUGGUGUUCGGGUUGUCAUGCCAAUGGCACUGCCCGGUAGCUAAAUGCGGAAGAGAUAAGUGCUGAAAGCAUCUAAGCACGAAACUUGCCCCGAGAUGAGUUCUCCCUGAGACUUAGAGUCUCCUGAAGGAACGUUGAAGACGACGACGUUGAUAGGCCGGGUGUGUAAGCGCAGCGAUGCGUUGAGCUAACCGGUACUAAUGAACCGUGAGGCUUAACCUUACAACGCCGAAG
This 1734-nucleotide ribosomal RNA is filed under the name Salmonella enterica subsp. enterica serovar Newport str. #11-2. RNAcentral's name for it is "bacterial LSU rRNA". It matches the Rfam family "Bacterial large subunit ribosomal RNA", at positions 1226 to 2925 of the family's 2925-position model. Lineage: Bacteria; Pseudomonadati; Pseudomonadota; Gammaproteobacteria; Enterobacterales; Enterobacteriaceae. The record is from RNAcentral.